This 340-nucleotide ribosomal RNA is filed under the name uncultured prokaryote. RNAcentral describes it as "bacterial SSU rRNA". It matches the Rfam family "Bacterial small subunit ribosomal RNA", at positions 26 to 352 of the family's 1533-position model. The record is from RNAcentral.
AGGACGAAUGCUGGCGGCGUGCUUAACACAUGCAAGUCGAACGGAGAUCCAUUUGGUGGUAACACCAGAGAAGAUCUAGUGGCGAACGGGUGAGUAACACGUGAGCAACCUACCCCGAAGAUUGGGAUAACACCGGGAAACCGAUGCUAAUACCGAAUACCCCCACCGGGUCACAUGGCCUGAUGAGGAAAUGGGUUUCUGCUUCGGGAGGGGCUCGCGGCCUAUCAGUCUUGUUGGUGAGGUAACGGCUCACCAAGGCAUCGACGGGUAGCCGGUCUGAGAGGACGAUCAGCCACACUGGGACUGAGACACGGGCCCAGACCUCCUACGGGGAGGCAGC